AUCUUUGAAUCUUUAAUUGAUUGUGUUUCCUUUCUUGCUUAUGCAGGCACUUGAGACAGCCAUUGAUAAACAGCGGGAGCUUCAGACCUACAUUGACAAGAAAAAGAAGAAGAAGAAGUUUGUAAGUUACCAAAAGUCAAAUCAUGCAAACUUUAAAUAUGUAUAUAUAGGUGUAUCCCUCACAUCUAAUUUUCUUGGAUUUGUGGCUGCAGAACCCAUUUCGCUGGCUAAGAUGAAAAUUGGGUGCUGGAUGGCGUUGGUGAUAUGCACUGAGAUUUCAGCCCAUAGAUGUAUUGCUUGCCUAUAUUGUUUUG
This 314-nucleotide long non-coding RNA is filed under the name Gossypium raimondii (Peruvian cotton). Its description in RNAcentral is "long non-coding RNA (GRAI_LNC006097)". The record is from RNAcentral. Lineage: Eukaryota; Viridiplantae; Streptophyta; Magnoliopsida; Malvales; Malvaceae.